GGAGGGUGCAAGCGUUAUCCGGAUUCACUGGGUUUAAAGGGUGCGUAGGCGGGCAGGUAAGUCAGUGGUGAAAUCCUGGAGCUCAACUCCAGAACUGCCAUUGAUACUAUCUGUCUUGAAUAUUGUGGAGGUAAGCGGAAUAUGUCAUGUAGCGGUGAAAUGCUUAGAUAUGACAUAGAACACCCAUUGCGAAGGCAGCUUACUACGCAUAUAUUGACGCUGAGGCACGAAAGCGUGGGGAUCAAACAGGAUUAGAUACCCUGGUAGUCCACGCCCUAAACGAUGGAUACUCGACAUACGCGAUACACUGUGUGUGUCUGAGCGAAAGCAUUAAGUAUCCCACCUGGGAAGUACGUUCGCAAGAAUG
Molecule: ribosomal RNA, 367 nt
Filed under: uncultured bacterium
Lineage: Bacteria
Description: bacterial SSU rRNA
Rfam family: Bacterial small subunit ribosomal RNA
Source: RNAcentral